AGUGAACGCUGGCGGUAGGCCUAACACAUGCAAGUCGAACGGCAGCACAGUAAGAGCUUGCUCUUACGGGUGGCGAGUGGCGGACGGGUGAGGAAUACAUCGGAAUCUACUUUUUCGUGGGGGAUAACGUAGGGAAACUUACGCUAAUACCUCAUACGACCUACGGGUGAAAGCAGGGGAUCUUCGGACCUUGCGCGAUUGAAUGAGCCGAUGUCGGAUUAGCUAGUUGGCGGGGUAAAGGCCCACCAAGGCGACGAUCCGUAGCUGGUCUGAGAGGAUGAUCAGCCACACUGGAACUGAGACACGGUCCAGACUCCUACGGGAGGCAGCAGUGGGGAAUAUUGGACAAUGGGCGCAAGCCUGAUCCAGCAAUACCGCGUGGGUGAAGAAGGCCUUCGGGUUGUAAAGCCCUUUUGUUGGGAAAGAAAAGAAGCAGGUUAAUACCCCGCUGUUCUGACGGUACCCAAAGAAUAAGCACCGGCUAACUUCGUG
This 492-nucleotide ribosomal RNA is filed under the name uncultured bacterium. RNAcentral describes it as "partial 16S ribosomal RNA". It matches the Rfam family "Bacterial small subunit ribosomal RNA", at positions 29 to 507 of the family's 1533-position model. The record is from RNAcentral.